Molecule: unclassified non-coding RNA, 2577 nt
Filed under: Hevea brasiliensis (rubber tree)
Lineage: Eukaryota; Viridiplantae; Streptophyta; Magnoliopsida; Malpighiales; Euphorbiaceae
Source: RNAcentral
UGCAAUUGCACUGUAAGCAAAUUUCAAUAUUCUUUACAUUGACAUAAAAUGCAGUGAAAAUAUAUUCUGCAGAUGAAAUUUUCCGGAAAUUGACAUAGAUCAUAGAGUUCAUUAAUGGCAAAUGUGUUCCUUUGAUAAUCAACGGAACAUUUCGACAAUCUUGUUUCCAAGAGCCAUUUUCUGGCCUUGAUUCUCUAAUUCCUCUUCAUACUGCUAGAAUCAGUCUCUACAAAAAUUGAAAUCUACAAGCAGGAACGAAACAGGAUUUUGCUAGCACGUUAGAGAGUGUUGGCGUGAAAUUUAGAUGAAUUGAUUACAGUGGCUGUUUGUAUCAAUUGUGUAUACAUCUAUAAAGUGUAAUAUGUACAGCUUGGAGGAUCAAAAUGCCAAAAUGCUAUCCACCCCCAACGAACUUGUUAUUUGCCAUUAAAAAACUCAUGGAAUAAUGUAGAUGAACAAAUGGAGGAGAUGGUCAGGUCCUGAGAAAGCUCCAAGGCCCCAUUCCAGUUCCUAUUCUCAAAAAGCCGGCUAAUGCACGUAAACUCAUAAAAAUGCUCAAUGCAACCCAAAUGCCAUAGAAGCCAUGACUAGAGGAUAAUAUAAACAAGCAUAGGAUGCUCAUCAUAGACACCAAAACCUGAGUCGCGGAGGAAAAAAAAUAGAAAAAUGUGAAUAUAAUGAGCAUUUCAUAUUUAUUAAUGUUAAAAUGGAGAAGACAAAUAAUAUAAGAUUAUUAAAUUGUUGAUGGCAUAUUAAAUUGUUGAUGGCAGCCAAGCUACGCUUAUUAUAAAUUUAUAUCUUGAAGAACCUUUUAGUUAGGGCAGAAGGCAAGGGAUACCAUUGAGUAUGCAGAAUAUGCAAAAUCAGAUGCUCCAAAGUUGAUUCCGUCGAAAACGAAGGCUAAAACAUUAAUGGGCUGAGUUGCUGUAACAAACUAAUCAGCACAAAAAGGAAAAAUCUUAAUCCCAAAAUGGUCCAGAGUCCAAAGCACAGAAAAGGGGGGAAAAAUCCUAUGCUUGUUUCUUGUAGCAAAAGAAUGGAAGUGAAAGUUACCGGGAUGCCCACGCUAAUAAGGUUUAAAACAUUGGUGUCUUCUGUAAAUAAUGUUGAAGCAAACUGUAAUCCAACUAAAAGGAAGACCCAGAGGAAUAGCCCUAAAACCAAACCAAACUGCAAUAGGAAAGUGAACAAUUAAAAUAUUUAGAGGGAAAUAAGUAACUUUAUGCUAAGAAAUUUUCAUACCUGCAACACACGAGAAGCAGUGGCUUUGGCCUUGUCGUAAUCAUUAUUUGCAAAUGCACUUGCAAGGAUUGCCUGUCCAGCCACAGCCAGCCCAUCUGCAAGCAAAGAAGUUGCCAACCAAAUCUGCAAGCAAACCUGAAAUGCAGCCAUUGAAGUAGAUCCAUGUCUUGCUGCCAUUGAUGCAGCCAGGGUGACACAGAAUGUUGCAGCUAUUACCCUCAUCAACAGCAUAAAUCCAUUUUUGAGAAAUCGGCUAAAUUGUAGAUCUUUAAUGCUAGGAGGCAAUAGCUCAACUUGUUCAAUUAAUUUCCACAACAGCAUCAGGGAGAUUAGGUACUGAGAAAUAACAUGAGCAAUGGCUGCACCGCUGACUCCCAGCCGGAAAACGAAUAUAAAUAUUGGAUCCAAGAUGAUAUUUGCUACAUCUCCCACAACAGUAGCAUACAAAGGAGUUUUUGUAUCCUUAAUUCCUCGGAAAACCCCUUGCAUGGCUAAAGAAAGAAGGACAGCAGGAGCACCCAGUGACCUCAAUGUCAAGUAUUGUUGUGCUGGUAUUAGCAUGGGAGAAUCAGGAUGUACGCCCAUGUAGUUUAGGAUUGGUUUUGCUGCCAUAAUGAGAAAUAAAGCCUGGAUGAUGCCAAGCACACAACCAACAACCAAUGCUGAAGAAGCAGAUGGUAUGUGCCUUCUCUCAUAAACCCUUUUGGUGGAAAUACUGCUCACAGGGGAUGAUUUGUGAGUAGACUCAGCUUUAGGUAACAGCUCUUCCAUUUCCUUGUUGACAGCAAAAUCAUCUUCAAGUGUUGCAUUUUCCUGAAGUUCGGUACUCAAUUUUCCAGUAGUGUCUUCCUCAGCAACAAAAGAAGUUGUGACACUGACAAGUGGGAAUAUUGCAAUCUUUGACACUUGACUAAAAACAGCAAUAGAAACUCCCACAGCAGCAAGCUCCACAGGUCCUAUAUGCCCAAUGAAUGCUGUAUCAAUUAGAGAAGCAACAGGAUCUGCUGCUAAAGCAAGCGCUGCAGGAACUGCAAUUUGUGCUAUUUCUAUCCCUAACUCAUCAUUCCUGAAAACAUUACUUGUAUCCUUGAAGAGCGUAAAAAGGGGCACUUUAGCCAAGUUACUCCCCAGGUUAAGAACAGCAUCCAUGGCCAUCACUAGAAUGGAUUUCCCAAAAACACCGGAUGGAAUCAAGAUUACAGAGCUUCAGUAGAGAAAUUCAUGAGUUGACUAAAGAUGGUGCAUCAACCUCCCUCAGUUACGGAAAACCCAGAGCGUACAUUUUAUGCAAUAUAAAUUUAUAGUAAAUUGGAGCCAAAAGUAGCAAACUAUAAU